UUGAACGCUGGCGGCAUGCCUUACACAUGCCAGUCGCACGGUAAUAGGUUAAGCUGACGAGUGGCGAACGGGUGAGUAAUACAUCGGAACGUGCCCAGUAGUGGGGGAUAGCCCGGCGAAAGCCGGAUUAAUACCGCAUACGACCUAAGGGUGAAAGGGGGGGAUCGCAAGACCUCUCGCUAUUGGAGCGGCCGAUGUCAGAUUAGCUAGUUGGUGGGGUAAAAGCUCACCAAGGCGACGAUCUGUAGCUGGUCUGAGAGGACGACCAGCCACACUGGGACUGAGACACGGCCCAGACUCCUACGGGAGGCAGCAGUGGGGAAUUUUGGACAAUGGGCGCAAGCCUGAUCCAGCCAUGCCGCGUGCGGGAAGAAGGCCUUCGGGUUGUAAACCGCUUUUGUCAGGGAAGAAAUCCUUUGGGUUAAUACCUCGGGGGGAUGACGGUACCUGAAGAAUAAGCACCGGCUAACUACGUG
This 476-nucleotide ribosomal RNA is filed under the name uncultured bacterium. Its description in RNAcentral is "partial 16S ribosomal RNA". It matches the Rfam family "Bacterial small subunit ribosomal RNA", at positions 30 to 507 of the family's 1533-position model. The record is from RNAcentral.